RNAcentral lists this long non-coding RNA (972 nucleotides) under Nicotiana benthamiana. RNAcentral describes it as "long non-coding RNA (NBEN_LNC027610)". Lineage: Eukaryota; Viridiplantae; Streptophyta; Magnoliopsida; Solanales; Solanaceae. The record is from RNAcentral.
GAGAAUGUUCUACAUAUGAACAAGUCCCAUUUUAGUUGAAUAAGAUGAUAAUGAAACUCAAGAGGAAGACCAACUUAUUUUCUCAAAAAGAUUAAAAGUAAAUAAAUUUAAGGCCUUUUGUUUAUUAAAAGUUUGGCGUUUGAUCACUAAUUUUAUUGAGCCACCUCAGCAUAAACGCAUACUCCAUAUGCAAGACUGUUCCAAGUCUUGUCUUUUAAGGAAUUCAAAGACGCAUCUUCUGAUAGUAGCAAAGACACUUUUGAGAACCAAUAUCAUCUUCUAAGCAAGGAGGCACAAUUGUUCCAACCUGGUACCAUUUUUCCCUCUCCUGCAUUAAAUCCUUGAAGAAAUUGUCUAUCGUUUCUCUAGUGAUGCCUGGCAUAACAACAAUGUGUGCCAUAUCUCUUGUGCAAGACAGUUGCCAUUGGCGAGUUCACUUAGGGUCAUUAGGUCGUUCAAAGACGACGAUAAUGCUAAACUCAUUGAGCAUAGUGCUAAUUCCUGCUUUAUGAAGCCGGCCUUUCAAAUAUCGAGCUCUUUCAUUGCACAUUUUGGCUCGAUAUUUCUGCUGGACUUACUAAUGCUCUUUCGUUUUUGUUUUUGUUUUUGUUUUUUCUCUCCUUCAAUGAGCCGAUGGUCGAUUGGAAACAGCCUCUUUGCCCUUUCGGGUAGGGGUAAGGCUCGUCUACCGCAUCUUCUGAUAACAGCAAAGACAGUUUUGAGAACCAAUAUCAUCUUCUAGGCAAGGAGGCACAGUUAUUCCAACCUGAUACCAUUUGUCCCUCUCCUGCAUUAAAUCCUUGAAGAAAUUGUCUAUCGUUUCUCUGGUGAUACCUGGCAUAACCACAACGUGUGCCAUAUCUCUUGUGCAAGACAGUUGCCAUUUGCGAGUGAACUUAGGGUCAUUAGGUCGUUCAAAGACGACGAUAAUGCUAAACUCAUUGAGCAUAGCGCUAAUUCCUGCUUUAUGAA